RNAcentral lists this long non-coding RNA (243 nucleotides) under Solanum tuberosum (potato). Its description in RNAcentral is "long non-coding RNA (STUB_LNC011459)". The record is from RNAcentral. Lineage: Eukaryota; Viridiplantae; Streptophyta; Magnoliopsida; Solanales; Solanaceae.
UCUGCAUACGUUGAGGUUUGUGGUGAUAUAAUCAAUGGGUCUUUUGGUAUUUUUGGUGCAAAUGGUUUUUCAAACAUUUUGUUUAGAUUAGUGCUUGUAUAUUGUUUCCUAACUGUUUUGCUUGUACCUGCAGCUGCAUUGAAACAAUCAUUAUGGAUUUUUUGGAGUAUCCCAACGUCUCCUUUUAGCUCUGGAUGUUUAGUGUCUUCCGAUUGACAUAUCUCUGGAUGUUUAUAGUCAUGC